AACUCCGUUUAAAAGAAUUAUUUAUACUUUUCGAUUGUUACAGCGAUGUAUUAUAUUAUAUUAUCAAUAGAAUAGUAUACCGUGAUGAAUUGAACGGAGUAACGUAUCGAUCUUUCUGUCAGUCUGUAAGCGUACUAUUUUAUGCGCAAUAAUAAAGUACAUGUGAUUCGACAAUGAUUGUAAACAUUGGUGAAAUGCUUCUUACAUAGUUAUUCUUUUGAGUGUUAAUGAGGUCUGAUCGUGCAGUUUGCAAACAUCAACGGAAAGAUUACAAUCCAAUGCAUUUGUCAUCGUCAACCGUUUGGAAUGUCAAUUAGGCGAUGAAAACAAAAAUAGAUGACUCUUUUCCUGAUGCAGAAUUUGAAGUUGAUAGUUACCACAUAUGGCGAGCUGAUAGAAACCAACAUGGAGGAGAUACACCAGAACUGCUGAAAUCCCCCAAGUAAGAACAUCAAGUUACGGCAUCAACUCUUUCCGUUUCGGGGCUGCCAAACUGUGGAACUCUCUCCCCCAACAUUUCAGGGACCAAUUACAUUUCAAUCAGUUCUUCAGUUUGGUUAGCUCAUGGGACGGUGAGAGCUGCCGCUGCUCCUAUUGCAUGUAUCAAACAUAGUUGCUAAAUUUUGUUUUUUUGUUGUUGCUUGCAUGCUCUAUGUUUUCAUGCAUACUGUGAUAUAUGCUUGUUCAUGCAACGAAACUGAUUAUUAAAUAUGUUAGUUGCUUAAAAAAAAUCUUUUUAUUUGGCUUUUUGUUGCUAGCUCGUUUAAGGUGCUACAUUUUUUAGAUUUUGUUGCUUGCUUGCUUUUGUGUUGCAUGCACACUGUGAUAUACGCUUUUCUUUUUACUCAUGCAACGAACCUGAUUUUAAUAUAAAUAUGUAAGUUAAAUCAUUAUAAGUAAAAUAUACUUUCAUUAAAUAUGUAAGUGCUUAAAUUUUGGCUUUUUGUUGCUUGCUUGUUUAAGUUGCUAAAAUUUUGGCUGCUUGUUGCUUGCAUGUUUCUUAUGUUUCAUGCACACUGUGAUAUAUGCUUUUUUAUAUAUAAGCUUAAUCAUUAUUAAGUAAAUAUACUUUCAUCCUAACUAUUGUAAAUCCUUUAAGUAAAUAAUUAUGUUUUAAUUACAAGCUUACUUUUUUAUGUGUUUAUAUAUUUUAUAUAGCCGCUAAGUUUUAUAUAGUUGCUAAGUUAUUAUCAUGUGCUUUGUUAGUAAACUAAAUAUGCCUUUGAUAUUAUAACAAGAAAUAUGAAAAUUUAUUUA
Long non-coding RNA from Dreissena polymorpha, 1257 nucleotides. RefSeq lists it as uncharacterized. The transcript has 3 exons. Lineage: Eukaryota; Metazoa; Mollusca; Bivalvia; Myida; Dreissenidae. The record is from RefSeq and is a predicted model, not a curated record.